AGGGGUGUAGCUCCAAUUGGCAGAGCACGCGGAUUCCAAAUCCGCGUGUUGGGAGUUCGAAUCUCUCCACCCCUGCCA
RNAcentral lists this transfer RNA (78 nucleotides) under Vibrio stylophorae. Its description in RNAcentral is "tRNA-Trp". It matches the Rfam family "tRNA". From Rfam's summary of the family: Transfer RNA (tRNA) molecules are approximately 80 nucleotides in length. Their secondary structure includes four short double-helical elements and three loops (D, anti-codon, and T loops). Further hydrogen bonds mediate the characteristic L-shaped molecular structure. tRNAs have two regions of fundamental functional importance: the anti-codon, which is responsible for specific mRNA codon recognition, and the 3' end, to which the tRNAs corresponding amino acid is attached (by aminoacyl-tRNA synthetases). tRNAs cope with the degeneracy of the genetic code in two manners: having more than one tRNA (with a specific anti-codon) for a particular amino acid; and 'wobble' base-pairing, i.e. permitting non-standard base-pairing at the 3rd anti-codon position. Lineage: Bacteria; Pseudomonadati; Pseudomonadota; Gammaproteobacteria; Vibrionales; Vibrionaceae. The record is from RNAcentral.